UACGUAGGGGGCAAGCGUUGUCCGGAAUCAUUGGGCGUAAAGCGCGUGUAGGCGGCCCGAUAAGUCCGCUGUGAAAGUCCAGGGCUCAACCCUGGAAGGCCGGUGGAAACUGUCGGGCUAGAGUCCGGAAGAGGCGAGUGGAAUUCCCGGUGUAGCGGUGAAAUGCGCAGAUAUCGGGAGGAACACCAAUGGCGAAGGCAGCUCGCUGGGACGGUACUGACGCUGAGACGCGAAAGCGUGGGGAGCAAACAGG
This 253-nucleotide ribosomal RNA is filed under the name uncultured bacterium. Its description in RNAcentral is "partial 16S ribosomal RNA". It matches the Rfam family "Bacterial small subunit ribosomal RNA", at positions 524 to 776 of the family's 1533-position model. The record is from RNAcentral.